CCUGACGGGACAAGUAGUGAUACAUCGAGAAGGUUUUCGCAACAUCAUACAUUAGUCGUGUUUGCCGUGAUCCGAGUGUACGUAAUUUUUAUUCGAUUUUAUUUAUUUACAUUUAAAAUGCCGAAAAUCAGUACAACUACGUCUAUAGGCCUACAAAACAAGAGCAUAUUAUAAGGAGUAUAUUUCCAAAGUUCUCGAGGCAUAUAAAUUCAGGCCCUAACAACACUGUACCUGCGCACGGCAGGAUCGAUUAUUACCGGCUGAACGGGAACGGGCGCGAAAUAUUUUUGAAAAAAGUCUUAAAAUGAAACUCGAGGACCGCUGUUACGUUUACAAUACUUACGUUCGUUUUCGACAACAUUGUUUUCGUUUGUUUCGUUUUUGAAAACGAAACUCGUUUAACGACCAAAAGCCGAGAACGAUAUUAACUUAAACUUAAAGAUUUGUUGCAUCAUAUUCCAACUGCUUAUUAAACGAAUGUCAGCCGAAUACUGUUUUCCGUCGAAAUACGAGCGCUUGGUAACGGUAAGCCAUUGGAAGGUUGCAGAAAAAGAAGAAAAAGUACUGAUCCGGACUGAAUGACUCAU
This is a long non-coding RNA of Sipha flava (yellow sugarcane aphid), 587 nucleotides long. RefSeq lists it as uncharacterized. The record is from RefSeq and is a predicted model, not a curated record. NCBI's taxonomy places the organism in Eukaryota, Metazoa, Arthropoda, Insecta, Hemiptera, Aphididae. The transcript is spliced from 3 exons.